Molecule: ribosomal RNA, 499 nt
Filed under: uncultured bacterium
Lineage: Bacteria
Description: partial 16S ribosomal RNA
Rfam family: Bacterial small subunit ribosomal RNA
Source: RNAcentral
GACGAACGCUGGCGGCGUGCCUAAUACAUGCAAGUCGAGCGGACUUUCAAGAAGCUUGCUUUUUGAAAGUUAGCGGCGGACGGGUGAGUAACACGUGGGCAACCUGCCUGCAAGACGGGGAUAACUCCGGGAAACCGGGGCUAAUACCGGAUAAUAUCUUCCUUCGCAUGAAGGAAGGUUGAAAGGCGGCGCAAGCUGCCGCUUGCAGAUGGGCCCGCGGCGCAUUAGCUAGUUGGUGAGGUAACGGCUCACCAAGGCGACGAUGCGUAGCCGACCUGAGAGGGUGAUCGGCCACACUGGGACUGAGACACGGCCCAGACUCCUACGGGAGGCAGCAGUAGGGAAUCUUCCGCAAUGGACGAAAGUCUGACGGAGCAACGCCGCGUGAGCGAAGAAGGGCGUCGGAUCGUAAAGCUCUGUUGUCAGGGAAGAACAAGUACCGUUCGAACAGGGCGGUACCUUGACGGUACCUGACCAGAAAGCCACGGCUAACUACGUG